This 253-nucleotide ribosomal RNA is filed under the name uncultured bacterium. Its description in RNAcentral is "partial 16S ribosomal RNA". It matches the Rfam family "Bacterial small subunit ribosomal RNA", at positions 524 to 776 of the family's 1533-position model. The record is from RNAcentral.
UACGAAGGGGGCUAGCGUUGCUCGGAAUCACUGGGCGUAAAGCGCACGUAGGCGGAUUGUUAAGUCAGGGGUGAAAUCCUGGAGCUCAACUCCAGAACUGCCUUUGAUACUGGCGAUCUCGAGUCCGGGAGAGGUGAGUGGAACUGCGAGUGUAGAGGUGAAAUUCGUAGAUAUUCGCAAGAACACCAGUGCCGAAGGCGGCUCACUGGCCCGGUACUGACGCUGAGGUGCGAAAGCGUGGGGAGCAAACAGG